Molecule: ribosomal RNA, 490 nt
Filed under: uncultured bacterium
Lineage: Bacteria
Description: partial 16S ribosomal RNA
Rfam family: Bacterial small subunit ribosomal RNA
Source: RNAcentral
AUUGAACGCUGGCGGCAGGCCUAACACAUGCAAGUCGAACGGUAACAGGAAGAAGCUUGCUUCCUUGCUGACGAGUGGCGGACGUGUGAGUAAUGUCUGGGAAACUGCCUGAUGGAGGGGGAUAACUACUGGAAACGGUAGCUAAUACCGCAUAACGUCGCAAGACCAAAGAGGGGGACCUUCAGGCCUCUUGCCUUCGGCUGUGCCCAGAUGGGAUUAGCUAGUAGGUGGGGUAACGGCUCACCUAGGCGACGAUCCCUAGCUGGUCUGAGAGGGUGACCAGCCACACUGGAACUGAGACACGGUCCAGACUCCUACGGGAGGCAGCAGUGGGGAAUAUUGCACAAUGGGCGCAAGCCUGAUGCAGCCAUGCCGCGUGUAUGAAGAAGGCCUUCGGAUUGUAAAGUACUUUCAGCGGGGAGGAAGGGAGUAAAGUUAAUACCUGCGCUCAUUGACGUUACCCGCAGAAGAAGCACCGGCUAACUCCGUG